CAAUAGCGUAUAUUAAAGUUGUUGCGGUAAAAAAGCUCGUAGUUGGAUUUCUGUUGUGAGCGACCGGUCCAUACCAUGUAUGCGUAUCUGGCUUGCUCUCGGCAUCCUCUCGAUAGACGUUACUGCGCUUGAUUGCGUGGUGCGGAUCUCGGGACUUUUACUUUGAGGAAAUUAGAGUGUUCACGGCAGGCUUUCGCCAGAAUACAUUAGCAUGGAAUAAUACUAUAGGAUCUUGGUUCUAUUUUGUUGGUUUCUAGAAUUGAGAUAAUGAUUAAUAGGGACAAUUGGGGGCAUUCGUAUCAACACGUCAGAGGUGGAAUUCUUGGAUUGUGUUGCGACGAACUACUGCGAAAGCAUUUGCCAAGGAUGUUUUCAUUGA
RNAcentral lists this ribosomal RNA (379 nucleotides) under uncultured eukaryote. Its description in RNAcentral is "partial 18S ribosomal RNA". It matches the Rfam family "Eukaryotic small subunit ribosomal RNA", at positions 592 to 976 of the family's 1831-position model. The record is from RNAcentral.